RNAcentral lists this long non-coding RNA (320 nucleotides) under Androctonus crassicauda. The record is from RNAcentral. Lineage: Eukaryota; Metazoa; Arthropoda; Arachnida; Scorpiones; Buthidae.
UGAUUGGCCACUAUUUCAGGAGAAAUUGAUUUUGUUAGUUUUGUUGAUUGUGAUACUGAUGUUACCUGUAUGUUGUGUGCAGAGUGCUGGUGAUAUAAUUAUGGAAGUUGUGGCACCACCAGUUGAAAGUAAUAAUUCAGAGGAAUCUGAAGUAUCAGAUGGCGAAUCUGUAGUUCUUCACAGUUUGACAGAAGCACUUAGUACACUGGAAGUAACAGUGUUACAUAAGAUCAAAAACAUUAGUGAUAACAAAAUGUGUACAUUAGUUGCAUAUGAAGGCUUAAUCUAUGAAUGUAGUAUUGCAUCCAAAAAACAAACUA